AAUGUUUAUAGCAGCAAUGGCCACGAUAGUCAAACUAUGGAACGAGCCUAGACGUCCAUGAACAGAUGAAUGGAUAAAGAAGAUGCGGUAAACACACACACACACACACACACACA
This is a long non-coding RNA of Lutra lutra (Eurasian river otter), 116 nucleotides long. RefSeq lists it as uncharacterized. NCBI's taxonomy places the organism in Eukaryota, Metazoa, Chordata, Mammalia, Carnivora, Mustelidae. The record is from RefSeq and is a predicted model, not a curated record. The transcript has 3 exons.